This 292-nucleotide ribosomal RNA is filed under the name uncultured bacterium. RNAcentral's name for it is "partial 16S ribosomal RNA". It matches the Rfam family "Bacterial small subunit ribosomal RNA", at positions 505 to 796 of the family's 1533-position model. The record is from RNAcentral.
GUGCCAGCAGCCGCGGUAAUACGUAGGAGGCAAGCGUUGUCCGGAAUUACUGGGUGUAAAGCGCGUGUAGGCGGCAGGCUAAGUCUGUGGUGAAAUCGCCCGGCUCAACUGGGCGGGGUCCAUGGAAACUAGUCAGCUGGAGGACGGUAGAGGUGAGUGGAAUUCCCGGUGUAGUGGUGAAAUGCGUAGAGAUCGGGAGGAACACCCGUGGCGAAGGCGGCUCACUGGGCCGGUCCUGACGCUGAGACGCGAAGGCGUGGGGAGCGAACGGGAUUAGAAACCCUAGUAGUCC